GGGGUUGUAGCUCAGUGGUUAAGACAUUAACCCUCUGACCAGAAGGUCAUGAGUUCAAAUCCCAGCACCACCA
Molecule: non-coding RNA, 73 nt
Organism: Pangasianodon gigas (Mekong giant catfish)
Lineage: Eukaryota; Metazoa; Chordata; Actinopteri; Siluriformes; Pangasiidae
Source: the annotation of a GenBank genome assembly